ACCGUCGCAAAUAGCUUGUGCGGUGCCACAGUUUCUUUUGUGGAGAAGCUACUAGGCUACGCCUCAACUUGAUUGAGUCUUUCCUGUUUCUCACCACUCCUUAACUAAUUCGGAUCUUCUAUUGGCUAAGAUGAAGAAACUGAAGGUUAAACCGGUUGUGACUCUCUCAAUCUCACUGUAAUAGAAUCGGCAAUUGAAAUCCCCAGACGUUUGGUUCCAAAUUCAAAUACCCUUUACUGUACCAUAAGGGAGAAGGAAUAACAACAGAAAAGUGGCAAAAUGUAGGGGAUGGAAGGAUAUCAGAGGAGAAGCAUCGUCAUAAGUGUCCAUACCCUGAAUUCUGUCCUGGAUGUCUUGCGCCUCUAUUUCCUUCAGAAGAAGUGGACCCAAUCUGUCAUGUCCAGCAACAUAGCUCUCUUUAAAUGAACAUGUCUUCUCCAGGUAGAACUCAAGUUUGUGCAAAGGAGUCCCAGGGGUUUUAUGGAAAAAGGCCUUAAUGUUGGACAAGAAACCCUGAAGAUCCAUUCACUUUGCUUUUUUUGUCAGCCAUAUAUGAUGUGUAUAAAUAGCAAUAAAAUGGUAAGGAGUCAAAAUUUAAUUAUAUUACAUUAUCAAAAAUUUUUAUUUAUGUAGAACUAAUUCAUUCAAUAAUGGAUGAUACACAAUUGAUUGCCACUCAACCUUGGCAAAGUAUAUACAAAAUAACUAAUAUUCAUUUAUAAUGUUCAUUUAUUUUUUCUAUGAAUAUUUUUGUACCAAUUGGCUCAUUGUGUACAUUAGAUAAAAACCAGUAAGUUUGAAUAGAUAAAGAAACCAAAAUGUUAAAAAUUUGAAUUCCAAGAAAAAGCUAGUCUCAACCCUUGGCUCAACCUUGUGCCAAAAUCUGUUACACUGGGAGAUAACUUGAUUGAAUAGCCAUUGAUAACAUUUCUUCACAACAUGGGUAGCUCUAUCCAGAGCCCUGAGUCUAGAGUGAUGUCAUUCUGGGGAAAUAGAAUUAAUCAUAGAAUGAGAUUAAGUUUAAGGGUUCAAGUAGGAAGCUCAUAGAUUUCUUUAGGUUUCUCUCCUGUGAGCACAAUUGUCCUAGGUAUCCAAAAGGGGUACAAUCACCAGAACAGAGCCAAUUUCAUCAUUUCUGGCAGGAAUAUCCAGUUACUUGGCUGAUAGGGAGAACUCUAGGCAUUAUAGGUCAAAGUACAAAGUCAGAGUCAGUCGGUGGGUCAGAAGCUACAGGAUAUAUAAGAAAUUGGAUUCAGAAGCAAAAAGUACAAGGUAAUUCUGCUGGGAUUCAAGAUUGAAACCUUGGAUAGCACCAAAUGGAAAAAGACUAUAAAUAACUUUAAACGAAAACCAAACCAAACUAAACCAAAUCAAACCAAAACAUAAAACUGGAAGGAAGCAUGAUACAGUGAAAAGAUUUCUUGAUUUGGAGUUCAGAGGCUUUUAGGGUUCAAAGCCAAGUUCCACUGUACACAGUUGUGACCUGGGAUGAAUCAUUUAAUUGCUACAGUUCUCAGUUUCCACAUCUGUAAAAUGAGCUAGAGAAGGAAAUGACAACUGCCAAGGAAACCUCAAAUGAGGUCAUAGAGUCGGACACAAUGGAAAUGAGUGAAUAGCAACAAUGACAAACAAUAAGGUAUUGGGUUAGAUGAUUUUUAUAGGUUUUUGUAAGUGUCAAUCUGUGAUAUUAUGAUGAAACAAAUGUCUAGUUUUAACAUCAAAUCUCUAAUAUGAAAGAAAUAGUAAUUCAAUCAUAGUACUCCCCAAACUCUGAUCCCAAAUUAUGACUAUUGAACCUCAUAUAAAAUGAAUCAAAUUGUUAAUAAUCCUUUGAUUCUGACAAAUGUUAUGGGGAGGUAACAUAUCAUGGGGCAAAAGUUCUGAUUUGGAGCCUAGGAACCUAUGUCCCUUCCUCCAUCUCUGCUCUCCUUGUAUGACCUGGAACAAAGCUCUUAUCUUUUUUAGAUUUUAGUUUCCUUAUCUGUAAAAUAAUAGGGCUAGAUUUGAUUAUUUCUGAAACGUAUGCAUGUAUGAAAUGUAUCUUGAAAUGUAUGAUCUAUGAGCUAAUAGCAUUAAAAUGUGAAUUAUUACAUCUGAUACUGUUCCCAAUUAUGCACUGCUAUAUAUCAAAUAUGCUCUUUUAAAAUAUAUUAUAAAUGAAUUUUUGUUAAUACUUUCUGGGGGUUUUUUUGUGUAUCGUCUUCAUUUCCCAACA
Molecule: long non-coding RNA, 2215 nt
Organism: Antechinus flavipes (yellow-footed antechinus)
Lineage: Eukaryota; Metazoa; Chordata; Mammalia; Dasyuromorphia; Dasyuridae
Exons: 4
Source: RefSeq, a predicted model, not a curated record